Molecule: ribosomal RNA, 461 nt
Filed under: uncultured bacterium
Lineage: Bacteria
Description: bacterial SSU rRNA
Rfam family: Bacterial small subunit ribosomal RNA
Source: RNAcentral
AAUCAACGCUGGCGGCGUGCCUAACACAUGCAAGUCGAACGCGAAAGGGGCUUCGGCUCUGAGUAGAGUGGCGAACGGGUGAGUAACACGUGGGUGAUCUACCUUCGAGUGGGGAUAACGUCCCGAAAGGGACGCUAAUACCGCAUGACGUUCUGGGUUUAAAGACCUGGAAACCAAAGCCGGGGACCGCAAGGCCUGGCGCUUGAAGAGGAGCCCGCGUCCGAUUAGCUAGUUGGCGGGGUAACGGCCCACAAGGCGACGAUCGGUAGCCGGCCUGAGAGGGCGGACGGCCACACUGGGACUGAGACACGGCCCAGACUCCUACGGGAGGCAGCAGUGGGGAAUUGUUCACAAUGGGCGCAAGCCUGAUGACGCAACGCCGCGUGGGGAGUGAAGGUCUUCGGAUCGUAAACCCUGUCGAAUGGGAACGAAAGACUCGCGAGUUAAUACUCCGCGAGAGU